RNAcentral lists this non-coding RNA (189 nucleotides) under Candidatus Desulfofervidus auxilii. Lineage: Bacteria; Pseudomonadati; Thermodesulfobacteriota; Candidatus Desulfofervidia; Candidatus Desulfofervidales; Candidatus Desulfofervidaceae. The record is from RNAcentral. RNAcentral also lists the same sequence under 1 other name.
AGAAAAAUACCAUAUAUGGGUGUCCUUAGGGGACUUAAUAGGGAAGCCGGUGAAAGUCCGGCGCGGUCCCGCCGCUGUGACCGGGGACGAAACCCACUAAAGGCCACUGGGUGCUUUUAAGUACCUGGGAAGGUAUGGGGAGUAGGAAGAACCGGGAGCCAGAAGACCUGCCCAUAUAGAUAGCUUGCC